This 564-nucleotide ribosomal RNA is filed under the name Kockovaella sp. Its description in RNAcentral is "partial large subunit ribosomal RNA". It matches the Rfam family "Eukaryotic large subunit ribosomal RNA", at positions 58 to 616 of the family's 3401-position model. Lineage: Eukaryota; Fungi; Basidiomycota; Tremellomycetes; Tremellales; Cuniculitremaceae. The record is from RNAcentral.
AAAGAAACUAACAAGGAUUCCCCUAGUAACGGCGAGUGAACAGGGAAGAGCUCAAAUUUGUAAUCUGGCGUCCCUUGGGCGUCCGAGUUGUAAUCUAUAGAAGCGUUUUCCGUGCUGGACCAUGUCCAAGUCCCUUGGAACAGGGUAUCAAAGAGGGUGAUAAUCCCGUGCUUGACAUGACAACCAGUGCUAUGUGAUACGCUCUCUACGAGUCGAGUUGUUUGGGAAUGCAGCUCAAAAUGGGUGGUGAGUUCCAUCUAAAGCUAAAUAUUGGCGAGAGACCGAUAGCGAACAAGUACCGUGAGGGAAAGAUGAAAAGCACUUUGGAAAGAGAGUUAAACAGUACGUGAAAUUGUUGAAAGGGAAACGAUUGAAGUCAGUCGUGUCCGAGGGGUUCAGCCGGUCCUGCCGGUGUAUUCCCCUCGGACGGGUCAACAUCAGUUUGGACCGACGGAAAAGGGCAGUUGGAAGGUGGCAGCUCCGGCUGUGUUAUAGCCUUCUGUCACAUACGUCGGUCUGGACUGAGGAAUGCAGCUCGCCUUUAUGGCUGGGGUUCUCCCACAU